UGGCAGGUAGUUCAGGCGGUAGAACAUUUCGUCGGGUUAGCGAAAAGGUCACGGGUUCAAGUCCCGUUCUGCCAG
RNAcentral lists this transfer RNA (75 nucleotides) under Phocaeicola coprocola. RNAcentral describes it as "tRNA-OTHER". It matches the Rfam family "tRNA". From Rfam's summary of the family: Transfer RNA (tRNA) molecules are approximately 80 nucleotides in length. Their secondary structure includes four short double-helical elements and three loops (D, anti-codon, and T loops). The record is from RNAcentral. RNAcentral also lists the same sequence under 1 other name. Lineage: Bacteria; Pseudomonadati; Bacteroidota; Bacteroidia; Bacteroidales; Bacteroidaceae.